RNAcentral lists this long non-coding RNA (277 nucleotides) under Gossypium raimondii (Peruvian cotton). Its description in RNAcentral is "long non-coding RNA (GRAI_LNC006096)". Lineage: Eukaryota; Viridiplantae; Streptophyta; Magnoliopsida; Malvales; Malvaceae. The record is from RNAcentral.
GGGUGGUGCGCAGGGAGGGCAGUAGUUGCGGGGGCUAAGGCUGUUAGGGUUUCUAAAAUUUUGAUGUUUUUUUUUUUGGGCUGGGGUCUGAAAACUGGUUGUUGGGCCCGUUUAUUAUGUGGGCCCGGGCAAUUUGGGCUUGUACAGUAACAAUAUGUCUUAAUGUGGCCUUUCUUCUUACAAUAGUCACAUACCUUGUCUUGAUUCGUCAACCUCGAACCAAUCAUGCUUCUCGCAACAAAUGUCGAGGGUUUCCAACCUGAACUGUUACCCGAAU